GAUGAAGAACGCAGCAAAAUGCGAUAAGUAAUGUGAAUUGCAGAAUUCAGUGAAUCAUCGAAUCUUUGAACGCACAUUGCGCCCGCCAGUAUUCUGGCGGGCAUGCCUGUUCGAGCGUCAUUUCAACCCUCAAGCCCUCGGGUUUGGUGUUGGGGAUCGGCGAGCCUUUCUGGCAAGCCGGCCCCGAAAUCUAGUGGCGGUCUCGCUGCAGCCUCCAUUGCGUAGUAGUAAAACCCUCGCAACUGGAACGCGGCGCGGCCAAGCCGUUAAACCCCCAACUUCUGAAUGUUGACCUCGGAUCAGGUAGGAAUACCCGCUGAACUUAAGCAUAUCAAUAAGCGGAGGA
Molecule: unclassified non-coding RNA, 346 nt
Filed under: soil metagenome
Description: partial contains 5.8S ribosomal RNA, internal transcribed spacer 2, and large subunit ribosomal RNA
Rfam family: 5.8S ribosomal RNA (bases 1-120)
Source: RNAcentral